This 468-nucleotide ribosomal RNA is filed under the name uncultured bacterium. Its description in RNAcentral is "partial 16S ribosomal RNA". It matches the Rfam family "Bacterial small subunit ribosomal RNA", at positions 28 to 507 of the family's 1533-position model. The record is from RNAcentral.
GACGAACGCUGGCGGCGUGCUUAACACAUGCAGGUCGAACGGAAAGGCCCUGCUUUUGUGGGGUGCUCGAGUGGCGAACGGGUGAGUAACACGUGAGUAACCUGCCCUUGACUUUGGGAUAACUUCAGGAAACUGGGGCUAAUACCGGAUAGGAGCUCCUGCUGCAUGGUGGGGGUUGGAAAGUUUCGGCGGUUGGGGAUGGACUCGCGGCUUAUCAGCUUGUUGGUGGGGUAGUGGCUUACCAAGGCUUCGACGGGUAGCCGGCCUGAGAGGGUUACCGGCCACAUUGGGACUGAGAUACGGCCCAGAAUCCUACGGGAGGCAGCAGUGGGGAAUAUUGCACAAUGGGCGGAAGCCUGAGGCAGCAACGCCGCGUGCGGGAUGACGGCCUUCGGGUUGUAAACCGCUUUCGCCUGUGACGAAGCGUGAGUGACGGUAAUGGGUAAAGAAGCACCGGCUAACUACGUG